UAUCUAUGAUGUGGACAUUGAACUAAAAACAAUUUAAAUCUUUCCCACGCUUAAUGGAAUGGCUCACCAUCAAGUUGAGAGAAAGUAGAAUUUUACCUCUUAGUUC
Molecule: small nucleolar RNA, 106 nt
Organism: Pistacia vera
Lineage: Eukaryota; Viridiplantae; Streptophyta; Magnoliopsida; Sapindales; Anacardiaceae
Source: RefSeq, a predicted model, not a curated record